This 493-nucleotide ribosomal RNA is filed under the name uncultured bacterium. Its description in RNAcentral is "bacterial SSU rRNA". It matches the Rfam family "Bacterial small subunit ribosomal RNA", at positions 30 to 517 of the family's 1533-position model. The record is from RNAcentral.
AUUGAACGCUGGCGGAAUGCUUUACACAUGCAAGUCGAACGGUAGCACGGGAGCAAUCCUGGUGGCGAGUGGCGAACGGGUGAGUAAUAUAUCGGAACGUGCCCAGUCGUGGGGGAUAACGUAGCGAAAGCUACGCUAAUACCGCAUACGAUCUAUGGAUGAAAGCGGGGGAUCGCAAGACCUCGCGCGAUUGGAGCGGCCGAUAUCAGAUUAGGUAGUUGGUGAGGUAAAGGCUCACCAAGCCGACGAUUUGUAGCUGGUCUGAGAGGACGACCAGCCACACUGGGACUGAGACACGGCCCAGACUCCUACGGGAGGCAGCAGUGGGGAAUUUUGGACAAUGGACGCAAGUCUGAUCCAGCCAUUCCGCGUGCAGGAUGAAGGCCCUCGGGUUGUAAACUGCUUUUGUACGGACGAAAAGGUUUCUAUUAAUACUAGGAGCUCAUGACGGUACCGUAAGAAUAAGCACCGGCUAACUACGUGCCAGCAGCCG